AUUGAACGCUGGCGGCAUGCCUUACACAUGCAAGUCGAACGGCAGCACGGGAGCAAUCCUGGUGGCGAGUGGCGAACGGGUGAGUAAUAUAUCGGAACGUGCCCAGUCGUGGGGGAUAACGUACGGAAACAUAACCUAUUACCGCAUACGACCUAUGGGUGAAAGCGGGGGAUCGCAAGACCUCGCGCGAUUGGAGCGGCCGAGAUCAGAUUAGGUAGUUGGGGAGGUAAAGGCUAACCAAGCCGACGAUCUGUAGCUGGUCUGAGAGGACGACCAGCCACACUGGGACUGAGACACGGCCCAGACUCCUACGGGAGGCAGCAGUGGGGAAUUUUGGACAAUGGGCGCAAGCCUGAUCCAGCAAUGCCGCGUGCAGGAUGAAGGCCUUCGGGUUGUAAACUGCUUUUGUACGGAACGAAACGGCGAGCUCUAAUACAGUUUGCUAAUGACGGUACCGUAAGAAUAAGCACCGGCUAACUACGUGCCAGCCGCCGCGGUAA
RNAcentral lists this ribosomal RNA (500 nucleotides) under uncultured bacterium. RNAcentral describes it as "partial 16S ribosomal RNA". It matches the Rfam family "Bacterial small subunit ribosomal RNA", at positions 30 to 523 of the family's 1533-position model. The record is from RNAcentral.